Asparagus officinalis (garden asparagus) is the source of this 576-nucleotide long non-coding RNA. RefSeq lists it as uncharacterized. The transcript has 3 exons. The record is from RefSeq and is a predicted model, not a curated record. Lineage: Eukaryota; Viridiplantae; Streptophyta; Magnoliopsida; Asparagales; Asparagaceae.
ACCAAACUGUUUCCUUAUGUCACAUUUGUAUAUAUGUAUGUGUGUUGUUCAUGUAUGUAUGUUUGUACAUUUCCUCUUUUAGCAAAAGACUAAAGUGGUGCAAUAAACCUACUCCGCUUAAAUAAAUUUAAUGUUUUCAUAGUAGGUUUUAUCUCUAUUGAAUAAAGUUAAUGUUUUAUAAAAGUUUAUUUUUCUUUACUGAAUGCUUAUUUUUUAAUUACUUUAGGAACAAGUCACCAUGAUAAAUUUAAUAAAUAUGCAGGUUUCAAAAGGAAAGAUGAUCGUUUUUGUUUGUAGUUUUUAAUUAUUGGAUGCUUUAAUUCUUUGUAAUUUCUAUUUUGCUAAAAUGGGUCCUGGAGGUUUUAUUGAAUUUGUGUUUGUAUUUUGAAGGGCUGGAGUAUGAGUAGAAAGAUGUGAACCUUUUUAAGGGAGAGCAGAUCAAUCCAGCUGCAGCUCUUUCACGAGACCAUAAUCCUGGCCAAACUUAUGAGCGUCAAAGGACUAAGGAUGUAGGAGGUUUGAUACUCUGGGCAGGAGUUAUCAAAAUUAGUUGCUAAAUUGGCUGAGGAAGGAAAG